Molecule: ribosomal RNA, 491 nt
Filed under: uncultured bacterium
Lineage: Bacteria
Description: partial 16S ribosomal RNA
Rfam family: Bacterial small subunit ribosomal RNA
Source: RNAcentral
AGUGAACGCUGGCGGUAGGCCUAACACAUGCAAGUCGAACGGCAGCACAGUAAGAGCUUGCUCUUACGGGUGGCGAGUGGCGGACGGGUGAGGAAUACAUCGGAAUCUACUUUUUCGUGGGGGAUAACGUAGGGAAACUUACGCUAAUACCGCAUACGACCUACGGGUGAAAGCAGGGGAUCUUCGGACCUUGCGCGAUUGAAUGAGCCGAUGUCGGAUUAGCUAGUUGGCGGGGUAAAGGCCCACCAAGGCGACGCUCCGUAGCUGGUCUGAGAGGAUGAUCAGCCACACUGGAACUGAGACACGGUCCAGACUCCUACGGGAGGCAGCAGUGGGGAAUAUUGGACAAUGGGCGCAAGCCUGAGCCAGCCAUACCGCGUGGGUGAAGAAGGCCUUCGGGUUGUAAAGCCCUUUUGUUGGGAAAGAAAAGCAGCAGGUUAAUACCCCGCUGUUCUGACGGUACCCAAAGAAUAAGCACCGGCUAACUUCGU